AUGUCUUCACCGCCGCCAAGCCCGUCUCUUCCGCUGCUGGUCACCUUGUCGCCUCCGGCGACCACCACGACCGUCACCCCGCUCCUGCCCGCGUCGGGAUCCUCUGUCGCGCCCGCCCCCACCGUCCUCACCUGGGAGGAGGUGUCCGGGUUGCUGCGGGACCUAACCCAGGCGGUCCAGGAGAUCCACCUGUUCUUGGCCGGGUCCUACGGGCCGCACCCGGUUGCGUCGCCCAUUGUCGCCCCCGUGCCGCUGUGGCUGCCGUGGCAGCCGCCGUACCAGGCGGUCUUCGCCGCGCUCGCCGGGCCGCUACAGCAGCCGCUGCAGUCGCCAUUCAUCACCACCACUGCCCAACCCUGGCUGCAGUGGCAGCCGCCGCUCCUGGCGGCCUCCGCCGCGCCCGGCGCUCCGCCACAGCAGUCGUUGCAGCUGCAGCAGCCACCGCCGGUCAGCUCCACCGCCCAGUAUGGGAUGCCCUAUGACGGGAGUGCGACGACCUCGUUCCCAUCAGCGCCGCCGCCAUCCCAGGGCGUCCACAUCCAGCAGAUCAAGUCCCUGUCGUCGACGUCACCGCUUCCGUCUUGGAUCGCUACUCGCCACGUGUCGGUGGCGGUGAGGCUGCAGGCUGCUGCGCGCGGCCUCCUAGCGCGUCGGCGUGUGCGGGAGAUGCGUGGUCUGCAGCUGCCGCUCCUCCAAGUUGCCCUUCGCUGUGCAAAGGACCUCGAUCUCGUCCACUGCGUCGGGGAUCUUGGGCAUGCAGUUUCCCCCACGGGCGGCUGGCAUGCUGUUUUCCCCGCGGGCAGCGACCUCAAAGUCUGCGACAUCGGCGGUUGGGGGGGGGGGGGCGCACCCCUCCUCGUCAUUCUCCAUCGCAAACUCUCCACUCUUCCAUGUGCGGUGUAG
Molecule: ribosomal RNA, 903 nt
Filed under: Triticum aestivum (bread wheat)
Lineage: Eukaryota; Viridiplantae; Streptophyta; Magnoliopsida; Poales; Poaceae
Description: partial small subunit ribosomal RNA
Source: RNAcentral